This is a long non-coding RNA of Bombyx mori (domestic silkworm), 3603 nucleotides long. RefSeq lists it as uncharacterized. Lineage: Eukaryota; Metazoa; Arthropoda; Insecta; Lepidoptera; Bombycidae. The transcript has 4 exons. The record is from RefSeq and is a predicted model, not a curated record.
UUUUUUUUUCUCCUUCCAAGUGCCUACUGCAAAGGCAGUAGGAUUAGAUUAUAGAUCUUGCUCGAUAUGAUUCUUAAAAGACUGUUGCCACUGCCACGAACUGGACGCAAUAACGAUGCACUUCUCUUCCGCAUUAUUGCAAAGAAGUCAUCGGUGUGAGAUGUCGCAAACAUUGUGGAUGCACUACAAAAGCGCGGCAGUGACAACAUCAUCCUAAACGCAUUAUUAUAUUGGACACGUAGGGCAUUGUAAGCUCUCCGCGUGUAUGUGGUCCACAGACUACUGGCGUAAAAAUAAUACCACACACAUAAAUAUAUACGUUAACAUAAUAAUAUGCUGUUACAAAAUGCUUCACGCCGACAAUUUCCACGGACUAAUCAUCUAGUGGCACGCGAAAUAAACCAGUUUCGCCGUAACAUAAACUAAAUGGAUCAACGUUUAUAUACGUUCUAGUGUGAGCAGUAAAACUUUAGUUGUCCCACGGGAGGCUGUAACUCAGAUAAGUACCAUUACCGCAUGAAGCUUCGGGGCCAGAAGUCACAAGCGCUUUUCUUCGUUGUUGUAAGUAAUUCAUAAAACAAUUCUCAAAGAAAGUGAUUGGGCACAAACAAAAAGUAAAUAAGCUGAAAAGAUCUCGUGCGCAAACGAUCCAUCAGUACUUAAAUAUUUUCAGUUGGCAUCGGUGCGUCAUUUUGAAAAAGCGGCGCGACACAAAAAACCCCUUGUCGUGGCGUCGGUAGCUACAUACCCGAUCCUGUGGACCGAAUGGUAAGCAGUUGACGUCGCCUUAAGCACAUCAUUUCGCAUCCUACCGAUCCUACUAACGGUGCUUUUAGGUACCUCAAGCACAGGUCAUCGUUCUCGUCGAAGCCGUCGCUAGUGACGAAAGGUUCUUUCUUAAUUCGAACGUAUUUUUUUUAAUGUGUUACCUAACAUUUUUUUUUUUGGGUAUCGGAAAUCUGUUACUUUUCGAGUGGUCCCAUUUAAAUUUCAUUAAAAUCGGUUCUGAUUUUUGAUCUCAUUUUUGUUUAAGUUAAUUUUCUAUUUUGCAAUUUACAUAGUUUGGACUUUUCCAAGUCACGUAUGGUAAUGCGUAAAUCUAUCCAAGUAUCGAACUCCCGCUGUGUGCGAUAACAUCAUAAUUUACUCUCGCGAACAUAAUAUCAAAUUAUUUUUCGAAAGCAGAUCAUUAACUCCAUCUCAUUGCUGUAAAAAUACUGUGUUUUUUUUCGCAUCGCUUAGAGGGGUGCACCAGCUCAUAGCACGCUUGGUGUUAAGCGGUCACCGGAGGAUAGAUAUCGACACCAUAUAGCUACCCACCUCGAGACACGAGUUCGUGUUUUAGGCGACGUCGACUGCUUUCCAUUCUGUCCGCAGGAUCGGGAAUGCGAGUAAGCCGCCUCGACAAUCCGUAGACCUCACGUGGGGUUGGCCUACCGCCUCGACCACGACUCGAAAAAUAAAGACCCCAAUUGAAAAUUUUGGUGGACUUGUAAUAUAUACGAAGUAAUUUCAUGAAGGUAUAUUUUUACAUGUUUCUUUAUUUAUAAAUAGUGGACCCGGCGAACUUUGUUUCGCCACACGGUUUGUUUCAAACACAUCAAACGGUUAACUUCAAAAUUCUACAUUAACAAUAGAAUAUAUUACGUUUAGCUGUCAGUUGCGUUUUGUUAUUCCAUAUCAGUUGCGUUUUUGUUAUAACACGUUUUAUGUCCCGUCCCACGGGAAUGUGAUAAAAAGUAUUCUAUGUACUUCUCCUGGUUCUAAGCUACCUCCCCACCAAUUUUCAGCCAAAUCAGCUCAUUCGUUCUUGAGUUAUAAAUAGUUUAACUAACACGACUUUCUUUUAUAUUUAAAAUAAGAUUUAUGCCUCGGGCAAAGUCAACGAGUUGUAAUGACAACACCCCAAAAAGAACCAUAAGGAGGGUAGAUAGAUAUAUCUGCUACUAACGUCCUACCCGCAGUCUUCGGUCUAUGCGUGACUCCAGUGAAACUGAUGAUAAAGCGACAAAGGAUGUCUAUUUCCGGCUUCCUGUCUGGAUAAAACGGAGGCAAUCGCCGAUCGUCUACUCGUGGUGCCAUGAACUGCAACAGCAGCGAAGACCUAAGCCUUUAAAUCAGAAGAUGCAGGGCGUUGUCGCCGACGUGUAAGGUCAGUAGCGAGUCGGCGCCGUGCUCCAGCAGGAGAGCGCAGAGCCGUGCAGACUGCACGUGUUGCUCGCGUGCCGGUACCUGCGCGCGCUCAUCUACUUCUGGCGCGCAUACUGCGCGCACUGCUCGCGUACCGCUGGCUGCGCGCACUGCUCGCGUGCCGCUGGCUGCGCACACUGCUCGCGUGCCGCUGGCUGCGCGCACUGCUCGCGUGCCGCUGGCUGCGCACACUGCUCGCGUGCCGCUGGCUGCGCGCGCUCGCCUGCUUCAGACGUGCAUACUGCACGUGUUGCUCGCGUGCCGCUGCAUGCGCGCGCUCACCUACUUCUGACGUGCAUACUGCACGUGUUGCUCGCAUGCCGCCGACUGCACGGUGCUGUACGACUGGCAGUGACGCAGAGGGCGAUGUCGCUUAGUCUGCGGCCUGCUACUGCGGACUACCCAACGGAUUAUCUAUCAGGACGGUCGAGCGGGACGCCCGCCACACGUGGUGCAGCCUCGCAUCGUGGGAGCAGACUGGAGCUGGGACGGCUGCCCUGCUUCCACAUCAUCCUUACGAGUGGACCCCGGUGACAUGCAGCCUUUUCUUCGAAAUUAAUAUGUGAAGGUCGAGGUGGGCACUUCGGUGCUUUACUUCCCAUUUUUGAGGUUGAGUUGGGUACGACGGUGCUUUACUUCCCAUUUUUGAGGUUGAGGUGGGCACGACGGUGCUUUACUUCCCAUUUUUGAGGUUGAGGUGGGCACGACGGUGCUUUACUUCCCGUUUAUUUUUUGAGCAGUAUGGUUAGAUGCGGAUUCGGCCGGAUUUUGCGUCCCUACUGUUUAGCUGUGUUGUGUCGGCAAUGUUCAGUAUCUGUAUCGGUGAAUAUUGCCGACAACAGCGCGCUACUGUUUUAGACGUUUCCUAUACGGGCUAACUCAGUAAAGGAAUCGUGCAGGUGUCUCAAAUUGCGCAGUUUGGGACAGUUGUGCGAUAUCCAUUCUUCUCACUUCAAAUGUUUAUCUUUGGCUCGUCCUCGCUGCAGAUGUAAGAGUGCACGCUUGCGUCUGUAGUGGGGAUUCUAAAUUUUAGAAAGUUUUAGAGCAUUAAGGUCUGGGUGUAUUUUUUUUUGUUACGUUACAGAGGGUGACCUUGUUGAUGCAAGCUCUGACGUAGCUGGAAGAGAUAUGCUUCUGCUGAGAGAUGAAGCGGUCGAGGACGCCUCGCCGUCAGGAACGGCCGUGUUACCGAAUCCUGGCAACCCCCGACCGAGAGCCAGCGCUAAAACUAUAAAAACGAUCCCUCGCUGCGCCUUUGCCUCUUUUUUGUGCGUGGCGUUCGUGAGUGCGGUUCUUGUUGAAACAUGUCCGAGACUUGUGUAAUUUUAACAGUUUUCGUUAAUAGUAAAUUGAAAUCAUUUUGUUAGAAGUUUUGUUAAUUCAGUGAAAUAUAAUUAGGCCAGUUCUGUGUUA